Molecule: non-coding RNA, 119 nt
Organism: Picea glauca (white spruce)
Lineage: Eukaryota; Viridiplantae; Streptophyta; Pinopsida; Pinales; Pinaceae
Source: Rfam
GGGUGCGAUCAUACCAACGUUAAUGCACGGGAUCCCAUCAGAACUCCGCAGUUAAGCGGGCUUGCGCUAGAGUAGUACUGGGAUGGGUGACCUCCUAGGAAGUCCUAGUGUUGCACCCU